UACGAAGGGGGCUAGCGUUGCUCGGAAUCACUGGGCGUAAAGCGCACGUAGGCGGACUCUUAAGUCGGUGGUGAAAUCCUGGAGCUCAACUCCAGAACUGCCUCCGAUACUGCGAGUCUCCGAGUCCGGGAGAGGUGAGUGGAACUGCGAGUGUAGAGGUGAAGUUCGUAGAUAUUCGCAAGAACACCAGUGGCGAAGGCGGCUCACUGGCCCGGUACUGACGCUGAGGUGCGAAAGCGUGGGGAGCAAACAGG
This 254-nucleotide ribosomal RNA is filed under the name uncultured bacterium. RNAcentral's name for it is "partial 16S ribosomal RNA". It matches the Rfam family "Bacterial small subunit ribosomal RNA", at positions 524 to 776 of the family's 1533-position model. The record is from RNAcentral.